Molecule: ribosomal RNA, 531 nt
Filed under: uncultured bacterium
Lineage: Bacteria
Description: bacterial SSU rRNA
Rfam family: Bacterial small subunit ribosomal RNA
Source: RNAcentral
AAUAGAUACCCAGGUAGUCCACGCCGUAAACGAUGAGUGCUAAGUGUUAGAGGGUUUCCGCCCUUUAGUGCUGCAGCUAACGCAUUAAGCACUCCGCCUGGGGAGUACGGCCGCAAGGCUGAAACUCAAAGGAAUUGACGGGGGCCCGCACAAGCGGUGGAGCAUGUGGUUUAAUUCGAAGCAACGCGAAGAACCUUACCAGGUCUUGACAUCCUCUGCCAACCCUAGAGAUAGGGCGUUCCCCUUCGGGGGACAGAGUGACAGGUGGUGCAUGGUUGUCGUCAGCUCGUGUCGUGAGAUGUUGGGUUAAGUCCCGCAACGAGCGCAACCCUUGAUCUUAGUUGCCAGCAUUCAGUUGGGCACUCUAAGGUGACUGCCGGUGACAAACCGGAGGAAGGUGGGGAUGACGGUCAAAUCAUCAUGCCCCUUAUGACCUGGGCUACACACGUGCUACAAUGGAUGGUACAAAGAGCUGCGAACCCGCGAGGGUAAGCGAAUCUCAUAAAAGCCAUUCUCAGUUCGGAUUGUAGG